CCGAACCGACUAAUGUUGAAAAAUUAGCGGAUGACCUGUGGCUGGGGGUGAAAGGCCAAUCAAACCGGGAGAUAGCUGGUUCUCCCCGAAAGCUAUUUAGGUAGCGCCUCGUGAAUUCAUCUCCGGGGGUAGAGCACUGUUUCGGCUAGGGGGCCAUCCCGGCUUACCAACCCGAUGCAAACUGCGAAUACCGGAGAAUGUUAUCACGGGAGACACACGGCGGGUGCUAACGUCCGUCGUGAAGAGGGAAACAACCCAGACCGCCAGCUAAGGUCCCAAAGUCAUGGUUAAGUGGGAAACGAUGUGGGAAGGCCCAGACAGCCAGGAUGUUGGCUUAGAAGCAGCCAUCAUUUAAAGAAAGCGUAAUAGCUCACUGGUCGAGUCGGCCUGCGCGGAAGAUGUAACGGGGCUAAACCAUGCACCGAAGCUGCGGCAGCGACACUGUGUGUUGUUGGGUAGGGGAGCGUUCUGUAAGCCUGUGAAGGUGUGUCGUGAGGCAUGCUGGAGGUAUCAGAAGUGCGAAUGCUGACAUAAGUAACGAUAAAGCGGGUGAAAAGCCCGCUCGCCGGAAGACCAAGGGUUCCUGUCCAACGUUAAUCGGGGCAGGGUGAGUCGACCCCUAAGGCGAGGCCGAAAGGCGUAGUCGAUGGGAAACGGGUUAAUAUUCCCGUACUUGGUGUUACUGCGAAGGGGGGACGGAGAAGGCUAUGUUGGCCGGGCGACGGUU
This 727-nucleotide ribosomal RNA is filed under the name Salmonella enterica. RNAcentral describes it as "partial 23S ribosomal RNA". It matches the Rfam family "Bacterial large subunit ribosomal RNA", at positions 774 to 1503 of the family's 2925-position model. RNAcentral also lists the same sequence under 1 other name. Lineage: Bacteria; Pseudomonadati; Pseudomonadota; Gammaproteobacteria; Enterobacterales; Enterobacteriaceae. The record is from RNAcentral.